Molecule: small nucleolar RNA, 94 nt
Organism: Choloepus didactylus (southern two-toed sloth)
Lineage: Eukaryota; Metazoa; Chordata; Mammalia; Pilosa; Megalonychidae
Product: small nucleolar RNA SNORA24
Exons: 1
Source: RefSeq, a predicted model, not a curated record
AUCCCUUCCUACCAUGGAAGAGCAUAUUCUUAUUUAUUGGCAAAGUUGUCGCCAUUUAAUUGGUAUUGGAUUCUGACUUGCACAAUUAACAUUC